CCUACGGGCGGCAGCAGUGGGGAAUAUUGGACAAUGGGGGCAACCCUGAUCCAGCCAUGCCGCGUGUGUGAAGAAGGCCCUCGGGUUGUAAAGCACUUUCAGGGAGGAAGAACGCCUGGUGGUUAAUACCCAUCAGGAAAGACAUCACUCACAGAAGAAGCACCGGCUAACUCCGUGCCAGCAGCCGCGGUAAUACGGAGGGUGCGAGCGUUAAUCGGAAUUACUGGGCGUAAAGCGCGCGUAGGUGGCUUGAUAAGCCGGUUGUGAAAGCCCCGGGCUCAACCUGGGAACGGCAUCCGGAACUGUCAAGCUAGAGUGCAGGAGAGGAAGGUAGAAUUCCCGGUGUAGCGGUGAAAUGCGUAGAGAUCGGGAGGAAUACCAGUGGCGAAGGCGGCCUUCUGGACUGACACUGACACUGAGGUGCGAAAGCGUGGGUAGCAAACAGGAUUAGAUACCCCUGUAGUC
This 465-nucleotide ribosomal RNA is filed under the name Vreelandella stevensii. RNAcentral's name for it is "partial 16S ribosomal RNA". It matches the Rfam family "Bacterial small subunit ribosomal RNA", at positions 338 to 795 of the family's 1533-position model. Lineage: Bacteria; Pseudomonadati; Pseudomonadota; Gammaproteobacteria; Oceanospirillales; Halomonadaceae. The record is from RNAcentral.